AUUGAACGCUGGCGGCAGGCUUAACACAUGCAAGUCGAGCGGAGACUUCGGUCUUAGCGGCGAACGGGUGAGUAAUACCUAGGAAUCUGCCUAUUAGUGGGGGAUAACGAAUCGAAAGGUUCGCUAAUACCGCAUACGUCCUACGGGAGAAAGGGGGGAGUCUUCGGACCUCUCGCUAAUAGAUGAGCCUAGGCCGGAUUAGCUAGUUGGUAGGGUAAAGGCCUACCAAGGCGACGAUCUGUAGCUGGUCUGAGAGGAUGGCCAGCCACACUGGAACUGAGACACGGUCCAGACUCCUACGGGAGGCAGCAGUGGGGAAUAUUGGACAAUGGGGGGCAACCCUGAUCCAGCCAUGCCGCGUGUGUGAAGAAGGCCUCGGUU
This 381-nucleotide ribosomal RNA is filed under the name uncultured bacterium. RNAcentral's name for it is "bacterial SSU rRNA". It matches the Rfam family "Bacterial small subunit ribosomal RNA", at positions 30 to 424 of the family's 1533-position model. The record is from RNAcentral.